RNAcentral lists this ribosomal RNA (447 nucleotides) under uncultured bacterium. Its description in RNAcentral is "bacterial SSU rRNA". It matches the Rfam family "Bacterial small subunit ribosomal RNA", at positions 330 to 793 of the family's 1533-position model. The record is from RNAcentral.
GCCAGACUCCUACGGGAGGCAGCAGUGGGGGAUAUUGCACAAUGGGGGGAACCCUGAUGCAGCGACGCCGCGUGGGUGAAGGAGUAUUUCGGUAUGUAAAGCCCUAUCGGCAGGGAAGAAGCAAGACGGUACCUGACUAAGAAGCCCCGGCUAACUACGUGCCAGCAGCCGCGGUAAUACGUAGGGGGCAAGCGUUAUCCGGAUUUACUGGGUGUAAAGGGAGCGUAGACGGCAGUGCAAGUCUGGAGUGAAAGGCGGGGGCUCAACCCCCGGACUGCUCUGGAAACUGUACGGCUGGAGUGCAGGAGAGGUAAGUGGAAUUCCUAGUGUAGCGGUGAAAUGCGUAGAUAUUAGGAGGAACACCAGUGGCGAAGGCGGCUUACUGGACUGUAACUGACGUUGAGGCUCGAAAGCGUGGGGAGCAAACAGGAUUAGAUACCCGAGUAC